GAAAUGCGAUAAGUAAUGUGAAUUGCAGAAUUCAGUGAAUCAUCGAAUCUUUGAACGCACAUUGCGCUCCUUGGUAUUCCUUGGAGCAUGCCUGUUUGAGUAUCAUGAAAUCUUCAAAGUAAAUCUUUUGUUAACUCAAUUGGUUUCUACUUUGGUAUUGGAGGUCUUUGCAGCUUCACACCUGCUCCUCUUUGUUCAUUAGCUGGAUCUCAGUGUUAUGCUUGGUUCCACUCGGCGUGAUAAGUUAUCUAUCGCUGAGGACACUGUAAAAGGUGGCCAAGGUAAAUGCAGAUGAACCGCUUCUAAUAGUCCAUUGACUUGGACAAUACUUUUAUGAUCUGAUCUCAAUUCAGGUAGGACUACCCGCUGAACUUAAGC
This 378-nucleotide unclassified non-coding RNA is filed under the name plant metagenome. RNAcentral describes it as "partial contains 5.8S ribosomal RNA, internal transcribed spacer 2, and large subunit ribosomal RNA". The stretch from base 1 to 105 matches the Rfam family "5.8S ribosomal RNA", at positions 50 to 154 of the family's 154-position model. The record is from RNAcentral.